AAAAUUUUCGAGUUGUCCGAUAAAAUCGAACGCCAGGCAUGAAAAAUCAGUUUUAAUUUUUUUUAUUUUAUUUAUAACAAUUAUAAAUAUUAAAUUUAACUUUUGUGUAAAAUUACCUCAAGGCCGUAGCGGAAGUUGGUCGAGGUAAUUUGAAUCUGGAUCUGGAUCUGGAUCCCUGAAGGUAGCUCUGCGAGGCCUGGAUCUACAAGCCCUCUACUUCGCACGCACGUCAAACUUCGCAAGAAGGUUGGAUGAUGUUUUUACUCGUGCAAAACAAUCUUUUGCAAAAGGACCCUUGGAAGAAAAGAAAUCCAGAAAAAAGGACGUUCCCUUUUCUCUUUCUUUCUU
This 348-nucleotide long non-coding RNA is filed under the name Phoenix dactylifera (date palm). RNAcentral's name for it is "long non-coding RNA (PDAC_LNC022085)". The record is from RNAcentral. Lineage: Eukaryota; Viridiplantae; Streptophyta; Magnoliopsida; Arecales; Arecaceae.